CCUACGGGAGGCAGCAGUGAGGAAUAUUGGUCAAUGGGCUUACGCCUGAACCAGCCAAGUCGCGUGAGGGAAGACUGCCCUAUGGGUUGUAAACCUCUUUUGUCAGGGAGCAACGCCGGCUACGUGUAGCCGGACUGAGAGUACCUGAAGAAAAAGCAUCGGCUAACUCCGUGCCAGCAGCCGCGGUAAUACGGAGGGGGCAAGCGUUAUCCGGAUUUACUGGGUGUAAAGGGGGCGCAGACGGCGAUGCAAGCCAGGAGUGAAAGCCCGGGGCCCAACCCCGGGACUGCUGUUGGAACUGGGUGGCUAGAGUGCAGGAGGGGCAGGCGGAAUUCGUGGUGUAGCGGUGAAAUGCGUAGAUAUCAGGAGGAACACCGGUGGCGAAGGCAGCCUGCUGGACUGCAACUGACGUUGAGGCCCGAAAGCGUGGGGAGCAAACAGGAUUAGAUACCCCGGUAGUC
This 461-nucleotide ribosomal RNA is filed under the name uncultured bacterium. Its description in RNAcentral is "partial 16S ribosomal RNA". It matches the Rfam family "Bacterial small subunit ribosomal RNA", at positions 338 to 795 of the family's 1533-position model. The record is from RNAcentral.